Molecule: non-coding RNA, 412 nt
Organism: Paramuricea clavata
Lineage: Eukaryota; Metazoa; Cnidaria; Anthozoa; Malacalcyonacea; Plexauridae
Source: the annotation of a GenBank genome assembly
CAUUUAUAUUAUUAUCCAUGCUUUCACUAACUGUCAACUCUCAUCCUUGUUUAGCGCAGAAAAGUAACAUUAAACUCACUUCGAGAUCAAGAUCCACCAUACAACCCUUUCACUGCAAUAGUUAAAUCCAGUCUACCAGACAGAACUCAUAAUUAUGGUCUGCGCAAUAAUAAUCCGGAAUUAACUUUCACCGAUAAUGUCUGAACGCUUUAGUUUGGGAACUUUUUGCCAUUCAAUAUAGUUAGGUUUUGAUGAAUACAUAUUUACAUAUUUUUAAAGUUUAAACACUUCCCGCACACGAGUGACACGACAUACUCCAACUUGGUCAAGGAUAUACUUUUAGUGUGGAUAUAUAUGCCAUGCACUUGGUCAGUCACACGCGAUUGCUCCUGCCAUAGUUCCUAAACUGCAU